Molecule: ribosomal RNA, 465 nt
Filed under: Vreelandella stevensii
Lineage: Bacteria; Pseudomonadati; Pseudomonadota; Gammaproteobacteria; Oceanospirillales; Halomonadaceae
Description: partial 16S ribosomal RNA
Rfam family: Bacterial small subunit ribosomal RNA
Source: RNAcentral
CCUACGGGUGGCUGCAGUGGGGAAUAUUGGACAAUGGGGGGAACCCUGAUCCAGCCAUGCCGCGUGUGUGAAGAAGGCCCUCGGGUUGUAAAGCACUUUCAGUGAGGAAGAACGCCUGGUGGUUAAUACCCAUCAGGAAAGACAUCACUCACAGAAGAAGCACCGGCUAACUCCGUGCCAGCAGCCGCGGUAAUACGGAGGGUGCGAGCGUUAAUCGGAAUUACUGGGCGUAAAGCGCGCGUAGGUGGCUUGAUAAGCCGGUUGUGAAAGCCCCGGGCUCAACCUGGGAACGGCAUCCGGAACUGUCAAGCUAGAGUGCAGGAGAGGAAGGUAGAAUUCCCGGUGUAGCGGUGAAAUGCGUAGAGAUCGGGAGGAAUACCAGUGGCGAAGGCGGCCUUCUGGACUGACACUGACACUGAGGUGCGAGAGCGUGGGUAGCAAACAGGAUUAGAUACCCGUGUAGUC